UACAGAGGGUGCGAGCGUUGUCCGGAAUCACUGGGCGUAAAGGGCGCGUAGGUGGCACGACAAGUCAGUGGUGAAAGCUCGACGCUCAACGUCGAGUCGGCCACUGAUACUGUUGAGCUGGAGCACUGUAGAGGCUAAUGGAAUUCCGGGUGUAGCGGUGGAAUGCGUAGAGAUCCGGAAGAACACCGGUGGCGAAGGCGGUUAGCUGGGCAGUUGCUGACACUGAGGCGCGACAGCGUGGGGAGCAAACAGG
This 253-nucleotide ribosomal RNA is filed under the name uncultured bacterium. RNAcentral describes it as "partial 16S ribosomal RNA". It matches the Rfam family "Bacterial small subunit ribosomal RNA", at positions 524 to 776 of the family's 1533-position model. The record is from RNAcentral.